UUGUAAAAGAAAUACACCCAAAAUUCAUCACCAUUUCCUCUCCUUCUUCACGCCAUUCUGGCGGGUGCAAGGGCUGCUGUUGACACCUUGUUCCUCUUCGAUUAUAGCUCUAAAUCUUGCAUGAAAUCACUUUCCUAGGCUUAUCAAGUUGUUCUCCAUACUGGGCAAAUGUUAUUUUUGAGGUAUCACAUCCAUAGCAUCAAAGAAAACAAAGAAAGAUUCAACUGUUUUGCAGGAUUAGAGGAAUGUUCAAGUUAGCUCUUGUGUGCAAUAUGAAGUCUUAGUCAAUGUGUUUAACCCACUGUCAUGAGAUGAAUUGUAGUAUAAAAUAAUUUUACAAGUCAAACAUGUAUUUGAUUUGUAAUCUAAGUACUCAAAACAUAUGGUAAUGACUAUUUUACUAUAA
This is a long non-coding RNA of Beta vulgaris subsp. vulgaris (sugar beet), 406 nucleotides long. RefSeq lists it as uncharacterized. The record is from RefSeq and is a predicted model, not a curated record. The transcript has 2 exons. Lineage: Eukaryota; Viridiplantae; Streptophyta; Magnoliopsida; Caryophyllales; Amaranthaceae.